Molecule: ribosomal RNA, 572 nt
Filed under: uncultured bacterium
Lineage: Bacteria
Description: bacterial SSU rRNA
Rfam family: Bacterial small subunit ribosomal RNA
Source: RNAcentral
ACGAGAAUCUGCUGAAGGAGGAUUCGUCCAACGGAAGUAGAGGAAAGUGGCGGACGGGUGAGUAACGCGUGAGGAACCUGCCUUGAAGAGGGGGACAACAGUUGGAAACGACUGCUAAUACCGCAUGAUGCAUAAGGGUCGCAUGAUUCUUAUGCCAAAGAUUUAUCGCUUCAAGAUGGCCUCGCGUCUGAUUAGCUAGUUGGCGGGGUAACGGACCACCAAGGCGACGAUCAGUAGCCGGACUGAGAGGUUGAACGGCCACAUUGGGACUGAGAUACGGCCCAGACUCCUACGGGAGGCAGCAGUGGGGAAUAUUGGGCAAUGGGCGCAAGCCUGACCCAGCAACGCCGCGUGAAGGAAGAAGGCUUUCGGGUUGUAAACUUCUUUUAAGAGGGAAGAGCAGAAGACGGUACCUCUAGAAUAAGCCACGGCUAACUACGUGCCAGCAGCCGCGGUAAUACGUAGGUGGCAAGCGUUGUCCGGAUUUACUGGGUGUAAAGGGCGUGCAGCCGGGUCUGCAAGUCAGAUGUGAAAUCCAUGGGCUCAACCCAUGAACUGCAUUUGAAACUGUA